AUUGAACGCUGGCGGCAGGCCUAACCCAUGCAAGUCGAGCGGAGCGGCGGACGCGUGAGUAAUGCCUAGUAAUCUGCCUGGUAGUGGGGGAUAACGUCCGGAAACGGGCGCUAAUACCGCAUCCUAUCAGAUGAGCCUAGGUGGGAGUAGCUAUCUGGUGGGGUAAAGGCCUACCAAGGCGACGAUCCGUAACUGGUCUGAGAGAAUGAUCAGUCAGACUGGAACUGGGGCACGGUCAGAGGUCCUGAGUGAGGCGGCAGUUGGGAAUAUUGGACAAUGGGCGAAAGCCUGAUCCAGACAUGCCGCGUGUGAGAAGAGGGUAUUCAGAUUGUAAGGCACUUUAAGUUGGGAGGCGUUACCAACAGAAUAAGCACCGGCUAACUUCGUGCCAGCAGCCGCGGUAAUAC
This 407-nucleotide ribosomal RNA is filed under the name uncultured bacterium. Its description in RNAcentral is "partial 16S ribosomal RNA". It matches the Rfam family "Bacterial small subunit ribosomal RNA", at positions 30 to 526 of the family's 1533-position model. The record is from RNAcentral.